Molecule: long non-coding RNA, 1133 nt
Filed under: Varanus komodoensis (Komodo dragon)
Lineage: Eukaryota; Metazoa; Chordata; Lepidosauria; Squamata; Varanidae
Description: lncRNA (ENSVKKG00000002241.1)
Source: RNAcentral
UCUAUAUGUUGGGUGUUUAAGAUAACUCCCAAUUUUUGCUUUGCUAUUUUCACUUCUAACAGUCAUUUUAUACGCAGCUAUUUUCUCUGCGACCUGCUUUUGAGCACCCCAAAAGCAUCUUGCUGACCCCUGCUGGGAACAGGUCACUGGGCUGGAUCCCACAGGGCUCAUCAUUUUACUGAGGCCAGUCUGGUUGUGAGUAGAUGAAGACCUAGCACAGAAUGCUGCGUUCCCCAUGCCUUCCCUGGAUUGACCUCCCCGUUACUCUUUCCAGGUGAUCUGGACCUUUGAUGAGGUGGUGGUGAACCCACCCAUGGCCCAGCAGGUGCCGUAUCCUGCCAUGACACAGCAGGUGCAUUACCCUUCCAUGGCCCUGCCUGUGCAGUAUCCGCCCAUGGCCUCACCUGCACAGUAUCCUGCCGUUGGACAGCAGGCCCCCAAUCCCAUCGCAUCAGUCAGAGCACCACUGGAUGCUGGAAGGACACUCCUUUGCCGGGAGCCUGUGCCAGAGAGUGGCCGGAGUCUCAGACCAUAUGGACCGAUCCAGGAGUUCCGGAGGCCCCUCACAAACGCAGAGCGGAUGCGGAACCGGAGGAUGCGGAACCGGAAGCAGCGCCUGGAGACCAGCAUGCAGCUGGUUGAGUCAGCAUCGCGGGCUCCCUCCAUGCUCUUGGACGCCAUGCGGGGGCUGCACCGGCAGGACCUGAAGGCCUUCGACCGGGCCCGGCAGGAGGAAAGGCAGCACCGGAAACAGGAGAGGCGCCAGGACCGGGCUUCAGCUCAGCUGAUGGUCAAUGCCAUUGAACGCUCCCACAGUGACCUGGGGGAGUUCCUGGGGAAGCAAACUGCCACCAUGGCAGCCAUCGCAGCAGUAUUCACCGGCCAGCGGUCCCCCCAGCAAGGUGCCUGCCCUGGCUACGGCUCUUACCAGGGGUACAGCAACCCGCCCUGGGGGCCCCCGGAGCCCGGAACGCCCCUGCCGCCCAGUCACGUGCCUGGAAUGCCCUCUGAGCCAAUGAGCAGUCCCGUCAUUCCAUGCCCGGUGCCUCCUUUGCCCCCCACCGGUGGCCUGUGUGAUCCCGUCCCUGAACCUACAGACGGACCAAGAGAAGACGCCGCUGCUGACGCCCCCA